AGUGAACGCUGGCGGUAGGCCUAACACAUGCAAGUCGAACGGCAGCACAGUAAGAGCUUGCUCUUACGGGUGGCGAGUGGCGGACGGGUGAGGAAUACAUCGGAAUCUACUUUUUCGUGGGGGAUAACGUAGGGAAACUUACGCUAAUACCGAAUACGACCUACGGGUGAAAGCAGGGGAUCUUCGGACCUUUCGCGAUUGAAUGAGCCGAUGUCGCAUUAGCUUGUUGGCGAGGUAAAGGCCCACCAAGGCAACGAUGCGUAGCUGGGCUGAGAGGAUGAGCGGCCACAAGGGAAGUGAGACGCGGGACCGACUCCAACGGGAGGCAGUCGUAGGGAAUCUUGCGCAAUGGGGGAAAGGCUGCAGGAGCAACGGCGAGUGAAGGAGGAAGGUCUUCGGAUCGUAAAACUCUGUUAUUAGGGAAGAAAAAAUGUGUAAGUAACUAUGCACGGCUUGACGGUACCGAAUUAGAAAGCCACGGCUAAAUACGUG
RNAcentral lists this ribosomal RNA (492 nucleotides) under uncultured bacterium. RNAcentral describes it as "partial 16S ribosomal RNA". It matches the Rfam family "Bacterial small subunit ribosomal RNA", at positions 29 to 507 of the family's 1533-position model. The record is from RNAcentral.